This 2354-nucleotide long non-coding RNA is filed under the name Canis lupus familiaris (dog). RNAcentral's name for it is "lncRNA (ENSCAFG00845004376.1)". Lineage: Eukaryota; Metazoa; Chordata; Mammalia; Carnivora; Canidae. The record is from RNAcentral.
UUUUUCUUUUUCCUCUUUCAAUUACCUUUAUGGAAUUUUAAGAAUUUAAACAAUAUGUUUAAAAGUAUUCUAAUAUUACUUUGUAUUUUGUGUAUGUGCACACAUGCACGUGUAUUUAUCAAAUUUGCACAUUUUAUGAAAAUGGGCUUUCUCUAUAUUGGUGUGGGCGUUGCCUUGCAUUUUAGCUACUUUCAAACACUUUAAGUAGUUUUUAGUGACAUUGAUUAAAAAAAAAAAAACAUUCUUUAAAAUUUGGUUUCCAGGGAUAAAAAGAACUGGAUACACAAAUGGAUGUGAAACACUCAAGGGUACUGAAUUUUACAUGAUAUGGUCUUUAACUAAGUUUAUUGCCAGGCAAAAAGGUGUUAGGUUAAUUAAGAUGGGGAGGUUUCGAUUAACCAGGUACCAAAGUCUCAUUCAUGGGGAGCAAAUAAAAUAGCCAGAAGGAUUCAUAUGAAGGAAUUAAGUCAAUGCACUUAUGGAGAAGAUAUAUGGAGAUGAAGGUUAAGUGCUUCCAACCAAGAUGCCCAGGGUAGCUCCUGCCCAUCUUACGAGGCCAAUGAAACUUUUACUCCACACACUUCUGGCAGCCAACAACAGUUUUCAUAGCUAUUUUGUGAGUUCCGGAGUCAGAUCUUUUCUUUUCUUAGAGAAGGGUUGUGAUUUCCCAAGAAGAAAACUGAGUUGGAGUCACAUAAACCUAAAUUCAAAUCUAGGCCCUACAACUUUUUGCUGUACCAGUGGUGUGUUCUCUUCCAUUUUACUUUAUGUCUUGGGCCUAGGUUCCUCUUUGAUGAUGAUGAUGAUAAUGUCUUCUUUAUUGUUUUUAAAAUAUCCAGUUCUGAGUGGCAGAGUUAGGCUAGUUACUCUCCAAAACCCAUUUGCUCCUUCUCCUGGGCAGAUAACUGGAAUACAUUUUCCAGCCUCCCUUGCAGUUGGAUGUGGUCAUACGAUGGAGUUCUAGCCAAUGGAACAUGAAUUAAAGUGAUAUGUUCACUCCUAGAUCUGCCCUAUAAAAAUUUCCCAUCAGUGAUCCUCCAUGUUAUUUCCUCUUCUGCAUGGUAUGUGUUUAUACCUGGAGAAGCCUUGGAAGCUGGAUGUAUAAAGUGUCAGAAUCACCAUGAACCUGGACUUCUGAAUCACUGUGGGGAGGACACUUUCCCUCCCUCUGCCCAAUAACUGUAGUGAGCAAAAAAAUGCCAUAUGAGUAUUUAUUUUCUUACACUCUGUCCUCUAGAAAAAGAACACGACCAAAUGAUCUAAAACCCAGAGAGAGUAAAUCACCCAACAUUAUACAAGAGAGGUGGCAGGCGCACAUAAUGCAUGGCGAUUGGUGGAUGGUGGUGGAAUGUAUUUGUUUUGUAUGGACUAGAUACUGAGUCUAAUAUGGACUAGAUAUGCUGCCCAAGGGACAGCUGUUUCAAGGAAUGGUAUUUUACUUUGCUUGAUUUGUUGCCAUGUGAAGAAGUGGAUAGGGAGAAACUGGUAACACCAGAGGAGAAAGAAAAAGAGAGAAAUGAUGGUGAGACUAAUAAGAAACCCAUAGCCUUUUCCCUGCAGCAACAUGGAGAAUUCAAAGGAUCCCCUUUGGAGAGCCUGGAGGAUUAAUGACAAAUGUCCCAGCAAGAGAAAAUACCAGAAGGAGGGAUCCUGGGUGAUGAUUAUGCCCAAUACUGUGGAGACCUUCUUGAUCAGGAAAAUGCUAACUGUGACAACCACGGGACCUGACUAAGACUGGAUUCUUGCAUGAUUUCAUGCUUUCGAGUGCCAGAGCCCAUUUUAGAAUUGUUUGCUAUACUGACUCAGCCACCCUGAAUCGAAUCACUUUCUGUAUAUAUAAAUCAACUAUGCUUGCAGGUACAAUAUGCUUUUGUAUUACACAGCUUUCCCUCCCCUUAUAUCCUUGCAAGAAGGAAACUGCUACCAACAGAAAGGCAAUACAUUCAGAAAACAACCCACGUUAUCAUGGUAAGGCCUUACUAUUGGGAUCACAUAGGAAUUUCUUGUCUGUGAAGAGAAUAUAACCCCGAAACAGAUUUGAAAGGAGACAGAGAGGAUAUUGCGGAAGGAAAGGGUGGGAGGCAAUUAGAAAAGGCAUAUAAGCUUGGUAACUUGGCUAUAAAAAGUAUGUGAGAUCACAAAGUAAAAACCAUAUGUCCAUCCAUCCAUCCAUCCAAUAACCAGUGAUUGAGGAUUUUCCAUCUCUAGAUACUUUCCAUCUACAUCUAUCUAUCAUCUAUCUAUCUAUCUAUCUAUCUAUCUAUCUAUCUAUCUAUCUAUCUUCUAUCUGCAAAAAGUAUCAAGAAAAUUAAUAGGAAUCAUAUGGAAGAUAGAGGAAUAUACAGAUUACUAAU